UCUAAUUCUGCACCUUUAGUUUAUUACUUUUCUUUUUCAGACCAAUUUAUCAGAAUAUCUCUGAUGAAAGACUUUUGGAGAAUGACAACAAAAAGCUUCAGAAAGAGGACUUGGGUUGAAGCCCUGAUCUACAUACAUAGUUGUCUGUCCAUUAAGGGAAAGUGUCCUUACAAAAAGAUAUCAACAGUGUGGAAUGACAGAGACCAAGGAGGACACCUGAAACUCUUAACCUGCCAGACAAGGUUGGUAUUAAUCAGAUAAAGAAAUUGUAGCCCUGUGUGGCUGUCUGACUCGCCUUAGAUCAUGGAGUCAAUGAUUGACUGAGCCAAGUUUAGAGCCCAGGUCUCCCGAUUGGAUGAUGAAUCAAGUCCUUUUUGAUUUCUCAUUUUCAUGUCUUUUAUUUAGGUCUUGGUAUAUGGGCUUAUUUAAAAUGAGACUUAUUCCCUCCUCCCCCUGUACUUAAUCUUCAAUUGACAACACCCAGGAAUGUUAUAGCCAAAUUAAAAUUAAAGAAAGUCACACAACCA
RNAcentral lists this long non-coding RNA (527 nucleotides) under Monodelphis domestica (gray short-tailed opossum). RNAcentral's name for it is "lncRNA (ENSMODG00000051151.1)". The record is from RNAcentral. Lineage: Eukaryota; Metazoa; Chordata; Mammalia; Didelphimorphia; Didelphidae.